Molecule: ribosomal RNA, 253 nt
Filed under: uncultured bacterium
Lineage: Bacteria
Description: partial 16S ribosomal RNA
Rfam family: Bacterial small subunit ribosomal RNA
Source: RNAcentral
UACGUAGGGUGCAAGCGUUGUCCGGAAUUAUUGGGCGUAAAGAGCUCGUAGGCGGUCUGUCACGUCGGCUGUGAAAACCCGGGGCUCAACCCCGGGCCUGCAGUCGAUACGGGCAGACUAGAGUGCGGUAGGGGAGACUGGAAUUCCUGGUGUAGUGGUGAAAUGCGCAGAUAUCAGGAGGAACACCGGUGGCGAAGGCGGGUCUCUGGGCCGAUACUGACACUGAGAAGCGAAAGCGUGGGGAGCGAACAGG